RNAcentral lists this ribosomal RNA (729 nucleotides) under Clostridioides difficile. RNAcentral describes it as "partial 23S ribosomal RNA". It matches the Rfam family "Bacterial large subunit ribosomal RNA", at positions 131 to 864 of the family's 2925-position model. The record is from RNAcentral. Lineage: Bacteria; Bacillati; Bacillota; Clostridia; Peptostreptococcales; Peptostreptococcaceae.
CUUAGAGUAAUGUCUAAGUAUCAUUAAGUGAAUACAUAGCUUAAUGAGGGGAACUCAGGGAACUGAAACAUCUAAGUACCUGAAGGAAGAGAAAGAAAUUCGAUUCCGUAAGUAGCGGCGAGCGAACGCGGAUUAGCCCAAACUAAUAAAGUUUUCUUUAUUGGGGUUGCGGACAUAUCAUAACGAAGAGGUAUCGUAAUUGAAGAGGUUUGGAAAGACCCACCACAGAAGGUAAUAGUCCUGUAUGUUAAACGAGAAGACUUUAGAUAUGAUCCAGAGUACCACGGGACACGUGAAACCCUGUGGGAAGCAGGAGGGACCACCCUCCAAGGCUAAAUACUACCUAGUGACCGAUAGCGUAUAGUACCGUGAGGGAAAGGUGAAAAGAACCCCGGGAGGGGAGUGAAAUAGAACCUGAAACCCUGCACUUACAAGCUGUGGAAGCACAUUUCUUGUGUGACCGCGUACUUUUUGUAGAACGGGCCAACGAGUUACGUUAAGUAGCAAGGUUAAGCACUUAAGGUGCGGAGCCGUAGCGAAAGCGAGUUUUAACUGAGCGUUCAGUUACUUGACGUAGACCCGAAACCGGGCGACCUACCCAUGAGCAGGAUGAAGCGAAAGUAAAAUUUCGUGGAGGUCCGAACCCACGAGCGUUGAAAAGCUCGGGGAUGACUUGUGGGUAGCGGUGAAAUUCCAAUCGAGCCCGGAGAUAGCUGGUUCUCCCCGAAA